CCCCCCCUCUUAGUGCCACUCCGAUCCUAACAAUUGGUAUCAGAGCAAGGCUCACUCUCAUAUUUGGUUUAAUACCCAAGAGAGAUGGCUUACUCCAGCAUGCAUGAGGGUCAUUCUAUCACACGUCCACCCUUGUUUAAUGGGUCGGAUUAUACUUAUUGGAAGACUCGGAUGAGAAUCUUCCUCAUUUCUAUGGAUUUCGAGCUUUGGACUAUUGUUGAAAAUGGAUUUCAA
Molecule: long non-coding RNA, 234 nt
Filed under: Musa acuminata (dwarf banana)
Lineage: Eukaryota; Viridiplantae; Streptophyta; Magnoliopsida; Zingiberales; Musaceae
Description: long non-coding RNA (MACU_LNC003397)
Source: RNAcentral